CCUACGUGGGGCAGCAGUGGGGAAUAUUGCGCAAUGGGCGAAAGCCUGACGCAGCGACGCCGCGUGAGGGAUGAAGGUCUUCGGAUCGUAAACCUCUGUCAGCAGGGAAGAACGGUCACUGUGCUAAUCAGCAGUGAAUUGACGGUACCUGCAAAGGAAGCACCGGCUAACUCCGUGCCAGCAGCCGCGGUAAUACGGAGGGUGCGAGCGUUAAUCGGAAUUACUGGGCGUAAAGCGCUCGUAGGCGGUAUGUCAAGUCACGGGUGAAAUCCCCGCGCUCAACGUGGGAACUGCCUUUGAAACUGGCAAACUGGAGUGUGGGAGAGGAUAGUGGAAUUCCAGGUGUAGGAGUGAAAUCCGUAGAUAUCUGGAGGAACAUCAGUGGCGAAGGCGACUAUCUGGCACAUAACUGACGCUGAGGAGCGAAAGCGUGGGUAGCAAACAGGAUUAGAUACCCCAGUAGUC
This 465-nucleotide ribosomal RNA is filed under the name uncultured bacterium. RNAcentral's name for it is "partial 16S ribosomal RNA". It matches the Rfam family "Bacterial small subunit ribosomal RNA", at positions 338 to 795 of the family's 1533-position model. The record is from RNAcentral.